UUUAAUAACAUAAACUUAAAUAAAAAAAGCUAAGAUACAAAAAUUAUUAUCAAAUAUGUAUUAUUCAUAAUCAUUAAUUGUCAUAUAUACUUUAACCAUAUUAGGCAAUUCCGUAGCGUUUAUUUAAGGAAAGUGCGAGAAUAUUAUUUUGUACACUAUUUAUCAAUUUAAUAGUUAGUUUAAUAAAAACUAUUAUAUGAGUUAAGAUGGACCAAUCUAUUUCUAUAAGAAUUUUUAAUUUCAUUCUCAUGGUGAUACGUGACUAUAAAACAAUAUUGUAAUGUUUCUCAAUUAAUAUAUAAGAGAUUAAUUGUAUUUUUUUUAUUAAAAGAGCUUGUGUGCGAGUACAUCAUAAUCACCAUUGCUCAUGCUCUCACUCUUCUCUUUCCUAGUUUAUUUAUUUUUAUUUAAGAACAUGAUCAAGAGCUCUCCAAUGUGGAUGUUCUAAGACCAUCAGCAAUGGAUGACCUCUUAGGUGAGUUUCUUAGGAAUUAGACAAUAAUAAAAAAAGUAGAGGAAAUAGAAGAGAAAAGUCCCUCACCGGAGAGCUUUAGAGUAUCAGCACUGGUUAAUUUCUCAAAUUUAAUUUUUGGGUGAUAUUAUAUUAGUGUAUAAAGAUGAUUUGCUUUUUGUAUUAAAAUUAAAUGUCUAAAAUUUUGAUGUACCACUAAAAUAAGGACAAUUGUAGAAUUACUUUCUCAAAUGCCUCUUUAAAAAGAGACGAUUCUCUCUAAUUUUAUCUACUUUCUUCUAUUUUUAACUUUUUAAUAAUAUUUUGGUUGAAAAUUAUGAGAAGAGCUCUCCACUAAAGAUGGCUUUACCGGUCAAGGUCCGUCUUUCAGUCUGGAUGAAUCUGUCCAGUUUUUUGGCUGAGGAUCGAGGCAGUGGAAGAGAACGGGUAUGAACUGAGGCUGAAAUGCGUCUUUUAGGUGUUGAGGCGAUUGAUAUCGAACUGAACUCGGAUUAUUGGAAGAUCAACUGCUUGUUCUCUAUAUUAUAAGUCAGUUUACGUUUCAUUGUCCGUUUGUUUGACACUGUUUUCGCAUCGUGUGGUCUAAGUUAGGGUUUAAGAGACGGUUCAUUCCGAGUAGUGGGAUGAUCUUGUUCUCGUAGUGGUGAAAAAUGUAAUAUCGGAUUGAUUCGGGUAACGUAGGAUCCUAUAAGUAUUCCUAGGUGAUACUAGAUCACGAUAUUGUAUGCGGGGUGAAAAUCGUGUAAGAGCACUUCCCACGUGAAUGUUUAAAAGAAAUUCUUACUAUUUAAAAUAAAUGAAAAUUUACAAAUUAAGAGAGAGAAU
This is a long non-coding RNA of Brassica rapa (field mustard), 1297 nucleotides long. RefSeq lists it as uncharacterized. Lineage: Eukaryota; Viridiplantae; Streptophyta; Magnoliopsida; Brassicales; Brassicaceae. The record is from RefSeq and is a predicted model, not a curated record.